AAUAAAUCCAAAAAAUGCGAUAAAUGAGCACUUCUUGCCAUGCUUCCUAGACUUCAUUGUGUGGGGCCAUGAGCAUGAAUGUUUGGUUGACCCGCAGGAAGUUCCAGGGAUGGGAUUUCACAUUUCGCAACCAGGGUCAUCAGUUGCUACAUCACUUAUUGAUGGAGAAUCCAAGCCGAAGCAUGUACUUCUUCAAGAAAUUAAGGGAAAUCAAUAUCUCCCAACUAAGAUACCUUUGAUGUCUGUGCGGCCUUUUAAGUAUACUGAGG
This is a long non-coding RNA of Glycine soja, 269 nucleotides long. RefSeq lists it as uncharacterized. The transcript is spliced from 3 exons. Lineage: Eukaryota; Viridiplantae; Streptophyta; Magnoliopsida; Fabales; Fabaceae. The record is from RefSeq and is a predicted model, not a curated record.